Hermetia illucens (black soldier fly) is the source of this 1042-nucleotide long non-coding RNA. RefSeq lists it as uncharacterized. NCBI's taxonomy places the organism in Eukaryota, Metazoa, Arthropoda, Insecta, Diptera, Stratiomyidae. The transcript is spliced from 2 exons. The record is from RefSeq and is a predicted model, not a curated record.
AGGCAGCUUAGUAACUAUUUAUUGAGAAACUGUUAGCAGCAUCAAUUAUUUAUAUUGUGGGCUACAUCUAAAGGCUCCCUUCAAGAAAAAAAUUUGUAAAAGUGGUGCAGCUAUUUUCCAAGACUGCUUUUCUGAGAAUAGUUCACCGUAGACACAGUAACUCGACAAUGGUUCAUCCCAAAUCAUAAUUUAACAAAGGAUUUUGUCAAAAUGCAAACAUGUAAAACAUGGGAGUGGAUUUAACAAAGAUUUCACUUUUCCGAGGUGUUAAAUCCUAAAUUUUAUACUUGAAAUUUUUUUUUUUAAAAGAAUUGAAAAUUAUUCUUUCCGCGACAAGAAUUUUAGCUAAUAAAAAUUGGGCAUUGAUUGGAGUAGUAGUUUUUUAGUAAUCGUGUCCAUUGCGAAGGUAUUUAAAAAAACAAGAUUCUGUCAUAAUUGCGUUUCAAACUUGUCAAUUAAAAAUAACGUAUUUUUUACAUCGAGUUAUGGAUUCCAGUUCCAUAUAGUUUUCGGUUCAGCUAUAACUUCGGACCUAAUGCGCUAACUAUUAUUCAGUUUGGUUAGAAUAUUCUUGAGAUAAUUUACUAGAGGAUAUGCAAUAAAGAACAUUUCGAUUUUCCCGGCCAUCGAAACUGUCAUUUAAUGCCUCGCACGACGAGCGCGUUCCGUUUGCUUGUGCACCUUCACCAGUCACAAAGGAAUGUUGAGAAGCUGACUUGACAUUUGUCUCAAUGUUUUGAGUCACGACGGGGUCGUCGCAAGCGAAGUGUGAUCGAAAACUGACGUAGUAACAAUCGCGAUUAGAUGAGACGUCAACCAAAAAACUUCGGAGGCUCUAGAGCACUCGGCGGCCGCAGCUAUAUAAUACCAAUGAAGGUAGACGCAAGUAAACAUUUGAGACGAUGCUAUCUUCAUCAAAUGUCCCGCAACACGGACAGAACGCAAAGUGCAAUGCGUUCAAUACUUAGAAAGGGAAUGGUUUUUGUCUUGAAACGCUUUCAAAUGUCGAAUAAAAGAUGGCACUCUUAACAGUGCAAAUCAA